UCCAAAGACAGCAUGGAAACAGUGAGCAGC
Molecule: non-coding RNA, 30 nt
Filed under: Rattus norvegicus (Norway rat)
Lineage: Eukaryota; Metazoa; Chordata; Mammalia; Rodentia; Muridae
Source: RNAcentral